Molecule: non-coding RNA, 107 nt
Organism: Acanthosepion pharaonis
Lineage: Eukaryota; Metazoa; Mollusca; Cephalopoda; Sepiida; Sepiidae
Source: the annotation of a GenBank genome assembly
UUGCAAGCUUUGCAACACCUGUUACUUUACGAUCACCGAAGUUAAGGAACGUUGAGUCUGGUCAGUACCUAGAUGGGUGAUCGCUUGUGAAUACCAGGUGCUGUAAG